AGGGAUCAUUACCGAGUUUACAACUCCCAAACCCAAUGUGAACCAUACCAAACUGUUGCCUCGGCGGGGUCACGCCCCGGGUGCGUCGCAGCCCCGGAACCAGGCGCCCGCCGGAGGGACCAACCAAACUCUUCUCUGUAGUCCCCUCGCGGACGUUAUUUCUUACAGCUCUGAGUAAAAAUUCAAAAUGAAUCAAAACUUUCAACAACGGAUCUCUUGGUUCUGGCAUCGACGAAGAACGCAGCGAAAUGCGAUAAGUAAUGUGAAUUGCAGAAUUCAGUGAAUCAUCGAAUCUUUGAACGCACAUUGCGCCCGCCAGUAUUCUGGCGGGCAUGCCUGUCCGAGCGUCAUUUCAACCCUCGAACCCCUCCGGGGGGUCGGCGUUGGGGAUCGGGAACCCCUAAGACGGGAUCCCGGCCCCGAAAUACAGUGGCGGUCUCGCCGCAGCCUCUCCUGCGCAGUAGUUUGCACAACUCGCACCGGGAGCGCGGCGCGUCCACGUCCGUAAAACACCCAACUUCUGAAAUGUUGACCUCGGAUCAGGUAGGAAUACCCGCUGAACUUAA
This 566-nucleotide ribosomal RNA is filed under the name uncultured Trichoderma. Its description in RNAcentral is "eukaryotic LSU rRNA". The stretch from base 197 to 350 matches the Rfam family "5.8S ribosomal RNA". Lineage: Eukaryota; Fungi; Ascomycota; Sordariomycetes; Hypocreales; Hypocreaceae. The record is from RNAcentral.